AAGACUUCCAAUGCCCCUUCCUUAGUCAGUCAAAUGGGAAGAGUCUUCACAAGAAAAUACAGGCUUGUCAUAAUAUUUAGAAUAUGGUUUCUUCAUUGACAACACCACUGGGGCAUUCCUGGAAGAAAGUGAAAGACAAGAAAUGAAUACCAUCCAACCUGGUCCAGUCAACUCGUGUUCAUGAGACCGUACACAACAUUUGCCACCUGAGUGACGCAAAUGAGCAGCAACUGUCCUGCUGCACAGCGUGGAGCCAUUGCUGUCACUCAUGGGCCAUGGUUGGUCACUCCUGCAGCUGCAAGCAGCAUUUGCAUGGUAUGGAAAUCAAGCAGGAAUGUAAGCACUUAGAUAUUACUGACAGAACAUGCAGUAAAAUUCAACUGAAAGAGUUAUAUUCAAUGAAUUCAAAAGACCCUGACGCUGAAGAUCUUAUUCAAACCUUGCAGAACCUUUUGCCUCUUUACAUCUUUUUCAUAAACUGAAAUAUAUAUAAGAAAGAAUAAGCAGGAAGUGUCAGAACAGAGUGACUAAAAGAAAAAAAAAGGAAGUGAUGGAGAAGAAAAAAGAUGAUUAGAGCUGUGACUUUACAAAAAUUACUUAUGUAAAGAGGUAGGAAAAGCAGAAGGAAUACCGUAUAGUUUACUAAGUUGCACAUAAAUAUCAAAGACCAGAGAGCCGAUUUCUAGUCCUGAAUUUGUCAGACUGAGGAGAUGGCUUUGGGCAAUGCACUUAAUUCCUUUUUUGCCUUAAUUCCUUCUUUAACACAGAGGGUGAAAAAAAGCCUUAAAAGGAAAGAAUUUUUAGAAACAAAGAUAAGCAAGAAAAUACAAAUUAAGUGUUAAGGUUCAUACAUUUGUUUUUGUCAAUUGCCAUGCUAUUUGGACUGAGGGUUCAAACAUAUAUACUCCUAGUCCUAAGCUGGGGAAACAAAAUAGCUUUAAAUGAAGAUAAAGAUCAGUGAAAUAUCUUUUACCAGUGUAAUAAUAGCUUUUCAUGUGAGAACAAAUGGUAUUUUAAUUAGAUAAAAUAAAGACCAAUGAGCUAUAGUUCCGACAGCUUCUGCGAAGAAACGAAUAGUGUAAUCUUACUAAUUGAGAGACAAAUGCACCAUCUGAGCAAUGGAUGUCAGUUCUGUAGAUCUAGGAUUAUUUUGAUUUUAUGUCACUUUUCUCAGCCAAAAUCUGCUUUUCAUCAUAACUAAGCAUGUGCCAGCACACAGUAAAAAACAAUUCUGUUUGAUCAGACAGACAAACAACUGUGUCGUAGAUAGACAUACAAAAUUAUUUGUUCCCAACCACAGAGGCUGACAGCUAUGGAAUUAGAGCACAGGUCUCUGUAAGAUCAGAUAUACUGGUUGCACUGCCUUUCGAACCAAAGCCUUUGGGGAAUGGCAGGAACAUCUCUACCCUUCAUCAGGUAAAGAGUAAUCCAUUAAUUGAGGAGGCAUCUCCCUGGCUGUCAUGUUGUUGGGUAUGAGGGCAUCUAAAACAUCUCUCUCUGCUUUACCAGCUUCCCAAAAAGACUGUAGUCAGAUAGGCCAGUGUCUCUGGCUCCUAGCAGGCUUACAGUUGGUCACCCAAGUAACAAGCAAUAGGACAAGAGGAAAUGGCUUCAAGUUGUCCCAGGGCAGGUUCGGAUUGAAUAUUACAGCAAAUUUCUUCACCAAAAGGGUUAUGAAGCAUUGGAAUGGCCUGCUCAGGGAAGUGGUUGAGACAUCAUCCGUGAAGACAUUUAACAUUCUGUAGAUGUGGCACUUAGGGACAUGGUUUAGUGGUGGACUUGGCAGUGCUGGGUUAAUGGUUGGACUUGAUGAUCUCAUGUCUUUUCCAACCUCGAUGAUUCUAUGUCUUUAUGAUUCUACUACUCUGCUUGUCUUUUUAUGUGAAGCCUUCUGGAGUUGUAGAAGUGCAUGCAAGAGGGCAGUAUUUUCACUUGGAUUCGAAGCACAAUAAAGAAAACUUCAGUGAAUUGUUCAGAUACAUACAGAUAUAACAUUAUAGUAAUUCAAUGUAGACAAUGUAACAAAGGUAUUUUAUAAGUUCCUCUUUCAAGAAUACAUUGGUAUAUAAUCUACGUCAUUCCCAGACCUCCACAAGGAAGAACAUAGCCUUUCCCCUGAGGUGAGUGGACAUGUGAAAGGAUAAUACAUUACUUUGGAAUUUAGAAAAAUAAGCAGUGACUUCUUUCUGUUCUGCAGGUAAUUUUUUUUCAGACAAAAAAAAAAUAGGUAGGCAGAUUUUGAAGGAAUUAAAGAGAAAACCUGCAUAUCUGAAUUUGUACAGGUCAGGUACUGACUUUUUUUUCCUGAGACACUUAAUAAAUAAUGAUUGACAAAAUGAGCAUCUAAGUUUAUCUAACUCUAUGGCUUAUUAACAUGCAAUGUAAUUUUUCUCGCUUUUCCUUGGAUGACAAAGACAUACAAACUAUACUCAUUUUGCACAGAGUGCUCUCCCUUUUUUACAGGAAGUGCCAGCAACAACAACUCUGUCAGUCCUUAGCCUGUAGCUGUGAAGAGCUAGAGGAGAAUUAAGGGUACUCUGUAAAAAUCUGUCUGAUUUAUUAUUUGUUAGUUCAAAAUGAGUUAGGAACCUUUAAAAAAAAAAACAAACAUGAUCUACAUUCCUCAUUUAAAGGUAGUAUUUUUUUCCUGUCACUUAAUAAGCUCUGGUAUCACCAUACUGUUUGAAAGAAUCAUUGCUUGAAAAGGCAACCUACUUUCAGAGAAUUAUUUAUUAGCAGACCCAGGAAUGACAGUUUGAGUUUCUCUAGUCUGACCCUCUGUAUUUUCCUCUGUUCUUUGGCACAGCAUUGCUGGUAACACCUUCUACAUCCUUGAAGGUCUGUAGUAAUGGUGUCUUAAGAACAUUCAUUAAAAAUCUGUGAUGCUGGCCAAUUACUCUUACCAGAACUAUCAGUUCAAACUUUUCUUUCUUUAGCUUGGAACUUCCUUCUGAGCUUCUAUAUGACAGUGAACACUCUUGUUCUUAAAUAAUUGUAUUCUAAAAAUAUAUGUAGCCAACACAAUUUACCUCCAAGCCUGCACUUUUCUGGACUCAUAAAUCUGGCUUUCUUGUGUUUAUCAGGAGAUUUCUGCAGUUCAGUGAAUAAGAUUAAAUAUCGUAAUUGUUAAGUAUGCCCCAUGGCUUGAUUUCAAGUUAUUGCUGACUUCUUCCUUUGUACAAACUAUAAUUAAAAAAAUCUAUCUAACCUUUCAUUAAACUCUUAUAAAAUAGAGGAAAAUAAUUAAAUAGUUUGAAAGAAAAAUGUGAGGCAUAUUUAAACCAUCUCCUAUAUUCUUUUUUUCCCUGAUCUGUAUAUAAUUUGUUACAGCAAAUUUCUGUUUGACAAUCUUUUAAAAUUGUAUUAAUUUAUUUUCCAUCUGGAGAAUAAAAAGGAGGGAAAGUUCAUAGAGAACUGAGUCCAGUGCUCCCUCUUUUAAAGAGAAAAUAAUUUAAACUGACAGAAAGAAGAGACAGAGAAUAAUAAAUACGAUUCUGCCUUUUGAUGACCUCGCUUGCUUGCAAUUUUGUUGCUGGGAAAUUACACCUCCAGCACAUGGUCUUAUGAACCACUCCAAAACCUGUAAAUUAUUUACAAGCUCAUGCUGUCUAAGCUGUCUCUCCUUCAGUGUUUCUAAGAAUAUUGCAAUAGGUUUAUUCAUCUUCACUACCUAAUCAACACCCUUUUUAGACAAGAAGCAAACCAAAAAGACACAAAAAAGGAGAAAUACUGAAAUGUAGGAAAGAGAAUGAAGGGGAAAGAAACUCAAAGCUCAGACGUCUGUCUGCAUAACAAACUGUAUUGUAUAAUGGAUAGAGCUGGAGCUCUGGCAACUUUGAAUAUAUUUUAGCCUUUUAUAUGAGAGGUUCUCCAUCCCAUGCUUCAUUUGCCAUCAGUUUUUUGUACAGUUUCAUUUUGGAUAUAUGUUCAUGUUCAUUGAUUUAAUUAUCAAUAACUGACAAUAUUUUCACUUUCUGCAUGUACUUCUAUUCUGACUGCAAAUUUAAAUUUACCAUAAACACAAAACUUAAUGGAAGAAUAUGUACAUAAUUUUGAAAUAGCAUGCUUAUACUUUAAAGCUAAUGCUACCAAAAAACCCACUGUGGCUUUACACAGCCCAGUUCAGUUCCCAAUUUUUCCAUUUGAGUAUGACAGAGCUUUGAUCACAACAGCAUGAGAAUUUAACAAAUGGCCUCGAUUUAAUAACAUUAUCUAGGUGAAAUUAAUAACAAAAUCUGGGACAACAGACACUUCAUGAAGCUCAACAAGAAUUUCAAUGUUCUGCAUCUGGGAAGAAAUCUGCCCUUGUCCCAGUAGCCGCUGUGAAGUGAGUGGCUGAAUGGCAGCACUGCCAAACAGGACACCAAACAGGGGUUACAGGGGAUGUCAAGCUGAGUGUGAGCCAAGAAAACCUUCUUACUAUAAAUAAGAUAAACCACCUACUGGUACAAAGCCAGCAGGAUGAGGAGUUAUUCUCUAAUUCUGCUUGGGACAGUCUUGGGGCUCUCCCAGGGGUGUGGAGGAACUGAUGAGAGAUAAGCAGAAGGUCAUGAAGACUACUAGGGACAAACACAUGUGACCACAAAGGAGAGACAGAGAGUUGGGCUUGCUUAGUCUAGGGCAUUGCUAAGGGAAGAUCUAAUAGCAGCCCACCAGAAAGGAAGUAGCAGAUCUAAAGGAACCAAAAUCUUAGUAGGGACAGACAAUUUAACAAAGUUUGGUGUCCACAGUCUGAGUUUUGUGAGCUCACAUUAGACACUAAAAUCACUUUUUCACUCCUCUUGGUACCCUGAAGUGUGGUGAUGCUUGAGAUAGCCCCUACUUUCAGUGAAAAGAUGUGCUGUUGAACAGUCUUAGAAAGCUGUGUAUAGAGAGCUUCACUAAGAGGUGAGGCAAGAGGCUUUUAUAAAUGGACCUUGAUAAUUUGCCGUUAUGAAGAGGAACAUACUGACCAGGACAGUGUGUGAGUUAGGGACCUGAGACAACAGGUUCUGAAGCUUGUGGGUUUUUUCAGGCUUUAAUGCUUCUAAGGUUUACGCAAAUGAACUUUUAUCCACUUCCAAAUUCCAAAGCUGCAUUCCUAAGGUUGAUUUAAAUUUGCUAUAUCUAAUGCUUGUUCUGAUGUAUGUGAUUCAAAUGUAGGCCUUCUGAUGACUUUCAUUUUUGCAGAAAACUAAGCCAAAUUAUAAUUAUGCAAUUCACAUGGGUUGCAAUAUCAAAUUAAUUUCUCCCACUAAGAAAUACAAUUAGUAUUUUUAGACUAAACAUCUAGUUUUAUUCAGAAAAGCCCCACAUGUAUUUGGUGUUUAAUCAGAGGACAUUGAUGUGCAUUUAGCCUAUAUUGGCCUCCUAUGGCAAGACAUCAGUGGCUAUGUAGUAAAAUUAUUCACCAAAGUUAUCCACCAACUAUUAGCCAAUGUUUUAUCAGAUAGAAGUAUUUUGUUAGCAUAUCUACAGUAAUGUAUUUUAGCACCAAGGUUUAUACUUGAAAUGUACAGUGUUUUUUCUAGGCUAAUAGAAAAAUUAACCACAAGGGAACUUGGCAAGAAUACUCUUGAACAGACUAAUACCUGCUAUAGCAGAAGGAAUUCUACCCGAGAGCCAAUGUGGUUUCAGAACCAACAGGAGCACCACAGACAUUGUAUGUUAAUGAUUUCCCCUCCCAGUUUUCAGGAAUUUGCUGACACAGCUAAUGCAUAUGUAAC
Molecule: long non-coding RNA, 5705 nt
Organism: Lepidothrix coronata (blue-crowned manakin)
Lineage: Eukaryota; Metazoa; Chordata; Aves; Passeriformes; Pipridae
Exons: 3
Source: RefSeq, a predicted model, not a curated record